RNAcentral lists this ribosomal RNA (537 nucleotides) under Vibrio parahaemolyticus. Its description in RNAcentral is "bacterial SSU rRNA". It matches the Rfam family "Bacterial small subunit ribosomal RNA", at positions 1008 to 1533 of the family's 1533-position model. The record is from RNAcentral. Lineage: Bacteria; Pseudomonadati; Pseudomonadota; Gammaproteobacteria; Vibrionales; Vibrionaceae.
UGAGUUAUCCCUUCGGGGAUACAGGGGACACAGGUGGUGCAUGGUUGUCGUCAGCUCGUGUUGUGAAAUGUUGGGUUAAGUCCCGCAACGAGCGCAACCCUUGUAUUUAGUUGCCAGCAUUAAGUUGGGCACUCUAGAUAGACUGCCGUGGACAACACGGAGGAAGGUGGGGAUGACGUCAAAUCAUCAUGCCCUUUAUGUCCUGGGCUACACACGUGCUACAAUGGUCGGUACAACGAGCAGCAAGCUAGCGAUAGCAAGCGAAUCUCUAAAAGCCGAUCCCAGUUCGGAUUGUAGGCUGCAACUCGCCUACAUGAAGUCGGAGUUGCUAGUAAUCGCGAAUCAGCAUGUCGCGGUGAAUGCGUUCCCGGGUCUUGUACACACCGCCCGUCACACCAUGGGAGUUGUCAAUACCCGAAGCCAGUGAGCUAACCAGAAAUGGAGGCAGCUGUCGAAGGUAGGGGCAAUGACUGGGGUGAAGUCGUAACAAGGUAGCCGUAUCGGAAGGUGCGGCUGGAUCACCUCCUUUCUAAGGAG